Long non-coding RNA from Scleropages formosus (Asian bonytongue), 2298 nucleotides. RefSeq lists it as uncharacterized. The transcript has 2 exons. The record is from RefSeq and is a predicted model, not a curated record. NCBI's taxonomy places the organism in Eukaryota, Metazoa, Chordata, Actinopteri, Osteoglossiformes, Osteoglossidae.
CCAAAUCUGCGCUUAAGUUUUUAUAAAACAUGCUGCAAAUGAAAGAAGUGGCAUCCAGCACAUGGCAAAAACAUCAAAAAUCACAACGCAUCUUCAAAGAACCCACUCCAGCAACUGUGUCCUGGAUGAAGAGAGCAUUUGAGAGCUGUCACAAAGUUGUCACAAAGAUGAAGGAAAAUGGGUUUGUUUAACAGUGCUGUUGACAUCCAAAAUGACAUAGUUGACACACGGUGCAUAGCAUCUGCAUCCAUUCACAGCACCACAACUUCUCCUCAGCCAACUGCCAUGCAUCUCAGUCUCCUGUCUGUCUCAUCCUGCACCAGUAACUACCAAGUUGAACUAGCUGACAUAUCAUGAACUGCCGCAGCAAUCUCCGCUCACAUAGAAAAUAAGGUGUCUGUCAGUUUCUCUGCUUUCACAUGAACUACAUGCUUAUAAAUGGUAUGAUUGGCAUUAAUUCAUGGAACAUUCUGAACACACAAAAAAUAUGUGCAUCACACAUUAUUUGAGGAUAAGAUAUAUCUUGGCUGUACCACGGGCUAUAAUUCAUUCCCUUUAUUUUUACCAAUUAACCUUUUUGUGCACUGAUAUUUGACUAACAAAAUUAUACAGUGCAACAAAAAAGGUCACCGUUUAAGACAUUUAUAGCUUGAGAUUAUUUUCAGAACUUUGAAAAGGACUGCACUGUAUGGAUUCCACUCAAAUAGAAAGCACAGUAGAGCUAAUGUGAGCUCAAAAAAUUGUACAGGACAAACAGUAGGCCUGUAACCCGAGUUUGUCUUGUUUCUGUGUCACUGCUUGAUCUUUGCGUAUGUCUAACAGUAUCGAGCAUUAAUGAAUAUGUUGGGGUUUUUUGGUAGAAUUCCACUGAAAAUGUUUGUUAGGGUCUUGGGGAUUAUUGAGACGUUGUAGUCCGUUCAGAGGUCUACUGUGUCGAAUGUUCCGAUGCAGCCCAUGUUUGUAAACAGCUGAUGAUGUGACAUUGUCAGCAGGAACCCUGUCAUCCAUCCACAAUGGCAGCAUUGUGAGGAGCUCUUGGCCUCUAGCCCGUUUGUCUCAUUGUCUGGGCUGGAGACAUGGGGGGCUGGGUGGGAACCGAAGGCCCGGCUAGACAUAACCAGAUGCAUACAUUCAUUUUGUCUGUAUGUGAGAGACAUCGAAGAUCUUUGCCUCUAGCUUACCCCCUCUAUGUGAGAUUCCGUGCCCCAGGUGCUACAGCUGCCCUUGUAAACAGUAGCUUGAUCAACACCACGGUCUGUGUGUGAUCACAAGAUAACACCCUUCAUAGGGUUUUCCUGGGAUGGGAUACAGUAGUUACUGAUGCUGUGCUAGCCAUCAGGUUUGAUCAGAAUGGACUUACUCAGGUAUCUGUUGCUGGCACCGGAAAGAGGGGCUCAUGAGAGGGCCACAUCAAAUUCAGCUUACCAUUAAGUCAGUUAUGUGGUAUUUAUUGGGUGUCUUCCCAAUAACUUUGGAUUUUUUAUCAGAAUUUUAGUUUUUAAAAUCUGUGACCAAAAUGUGUAAGAAAUUUGCAAAUGUAGUAUAAGUUUAAUUUUGUACUAUUAGCACAGCUUUAUGCUCUGAUUAUUUUUUAAUAUGUAUUCAGUUAACAGAAAGUUCAUCAAUAAGUAAUUCCAUGUGGUGUCUUGUGUUAUUGAUUUGUGUUGCAUUUUGUGAAAAACUAGAGAAUAACUGCAGCUUAGAGAAAGUACUUGGAACAGCGACAGCGUUCUUUUUUAAUUCAUGUGUCUUAACUGCUCAGUCUCACGGUUCCACGUUAUUUUUUGUCUAUGUGAGACAUGUUGUUACAGCCUAAUCAUCAUGCAGGACAAGUUCACGUUCACAGCAGUAGAAGAGUCUCAUGGGACACUGGCCACCCCAGUCUGAGGUGUUGCCAGGGGAGACACCAGCGAAUGCUGCAAUGUGCUGUUGAAAAACUUGACCUGUCAAAAUGUCUGAGACCAGCCACCCCCAUCCUUCACGAAUGGGUGUAGACCCAGAGACAGCAGUCAGAGCCUGGGAACGAUAGUGCUUAGGAAAUACUUCACAUGGAGUCUCCCCUCAACUAACAUGCCCCCCACAUGCUAACAGUUUCUUUUAUUGGUUCUAUGAGCUCUCUUCCUCAGUGUUUGCCAUAAACCUCCCCUGUGCAUAAAAAUGAGAGGUUUGUGUGCCUGUGAGGAUGUCAAGGUGUGUGAAUUUGUGUGUAUAAAUAUAUACUUUUGGAAUACAGUGUGUUGUCUGCUUGUGUGUUUGUGCAUGCACACUAUUUGAAUGAAUCAUAUGCUGUGUAAGACC